GUCCCCGUAGCUCAAGCGGAUAGAGCAGGGCUCUCCUAAAGCUCAGAUCCCAGUUCGACUCUGGGCGAGGAUA
This 73-nucleotide transfer RNA is filed under the name Fibrobacterales bacterium. RNAcentral's name for it is "tRNA-Arg". It matches the Rfam family "tRNA". Rfam says of the family: Transfer RNA (tRNA) molecules are approximately 80 nucleotides in length. The record is from RNAcentral. Lineage: Bacteria; Pseudomonadati; Fibrobacterota; Fibrobacteria; Fibrobacterales.